UACGGAGGGUGCAAGCGUUGUUCGGAAUUACUGGGCGUAAAGCGUACGUAGGUGGAUUUGUAAGUCAGGCGUGAAAGCCCCCGGCUUAACCGGGGAGGGUCGCUUGAUACUACAAGUCUUGAGUUUCGGGGAGGUGAGUGGAAUUCCCAGUGUAGAGGUGAAAUUCGUAGAUAUUGGGAGGAACACCGGUGGCGAAAGCGACUCACUAAUCGAAUACUGACACUCAAGUACGAAAGCAUGGGUAGCAAACAGG
This 253-nucleotide ribosomal RNA is filed under the name uncultured bacterium. RNAcentral's name for it is "partial 16S ribosomal RNA". It matches the Rfam family "Bacterial small subunit ribosomal RNA", at positions 524 to 776 of the family's 1533-position model. The record is from RNAcentral.